This 226-nucleotide non-coding RNA is filed under the name Paenibacillus wynnii. RNAcentral describes it as "T-box sequence". It matches the Rfam family "T-box leader". Rfam says of the family: Uncharged tRNA acts as the effector for transcription antitermination of genes in the T-box leader family. T-boxes are found upstream of many aminoacyl-tRNA synthetase genes and some amino acid biosynthetic genes usually in Gram-positive bacteria. The record is from RNAcentral. Lineage: Bacteria; Bacillati; Bacillota; Bacilli; Caryophanales; Paenibacillaceae.
GCAAAACCGAUGAUAGAACAAAGAUUCUGAAGGUCUUCAGAGAGCCGGUGGUUGGUGUAAACCGGUGGCGGACAGAUAUCUUUAGCACUCUUGAGAUAUUGUAUCGAACUUAAAGUAGGUACAAUCGGAUCAUCUCCGUUACCAGUGUGGCCUUUACAGGCCAAUGAGGCUGUGAUUUAAUCUCACAGUGAAUUAGGGUGGUACCACGACGACUCUCGUCCCUUAC